UGGUAGCCCAUCAAAGCCGUAAACGCAUG
This 29-nucleotide non-coding RNA is filed under the name Mus musculus (house mouse). The record is from RNAcentral. Lineage: Eukaryota; Metazoa; Chordata; Mammalia; Rodentia; Muridae.